This 472-nucleotide ribosomal RNA is filed under the name uncultured Anoxybacillus sp. RNAcentral's name for it is "bacterial SSU rRNA". It matches the Rfam family "Bacterial small subunit ribosomal RNA", at positions 910 to 1382 of the family's 1533-position model. Lineage: Bacteria; Bacillati; Bacillota; Bacilli; Caryophanales; Anoxybacillaceae. The record is from RNAcentral.
UUGACGGGGCCCGCACAAGCGGUGGAGCAUGUGGUUUAAUUCGAAGCAACGCGAAGAACCCUACCAGGUCUUGACAUCCCCUGACAACCCGAGAGAUCGGGCGUUCCCCUUCGGGGGACAGGGUGACAGGUGGUGCAUGGUUGUCGUCAGCUCGUGUCGUGAGAUGUUGGGUUAAGUCCCGCAACGAGCGCAACCCUCGACCUUAGUUGCCAGCAUUCAGUUGGGCACUCUAAGGUGACUGCCGGCUAAAAGUCGGAGGAAGUGGGGAUGACGUCAAAUCAUCAUGCCCCUUAUGACCUGGGCUACACACGUGCUACAAUGGGCGGUACAAAGGGUCGCGAACCCGCGAGGGGGAGCCAAUCCCAAAAAGCCGCUCUCAGUUCGGAUUGCAGGCUGCAACUCGCCUGCAUGAAGCCGGAAUCGCUAGUAAUCGCGGAUCAGCAUGCCGCGGUCGAAUACGUUCCCGGGCCUU